GCUCAACCAAGACGGGAGCUAUUCUGGUUGGGCUCUCAACAAAUUAAAUAGACUCCAAACUCCAAGACGCCGCUAGCAGUACAGUGGAAGUCAAAAUGCAUCCGUGAAAACCACUGAAAGAUGAUUUGGAGUUGGGAAUGAUUUCGGAGACCAUCAAAUACCUGAGAACUCGCUGCUACUCUGGGAUUAUCAGAGCGCCAAGUUAAAAUCUGGUUUCAAACAGACGACCGAAAGGGCGGAUACAAGCAAAAAGAAGUGCAUUGGAGAGAAAAUCCAAAUGGACAGCUUUCACCAGCAGAACCUCUUACAGCAGCAGCAACGACAAUCACAACCGGGUCAGGGGGCAACAUAAAUAAA
Long non-coding RNA from Zophobas morio, 357 nucleotides. RefSeq lists it as uncharacterized. The transcript has 3 exons. NCBI's taxonomy places the organism in Eukaryota, Metazoa, Arthropoda, Insecta, Coleoptera, Tenebrionidae. The record is from RefSeq and is a predicted model, not a curated record.